AUCUAUUUUAAUAUAUUAUAAGUUACAAAGCUUUGUUUUUAUUUUUAUAAUAUUAUAUAUAUAUAUAUAUAUAUAUAUAUAUAUAUAUAUAUAUAUAUAUAUAUAUAUAUAUCGGUUCAGGUUUAUUUCUUACACACAUAUUAAUAGUUCCGACAUUCCUUUUUUGUUUUCAUUUUUUAUUUAGUUUUUACUUUAAUUAACAUUCCACAACAAUAAGUAUUUAAUACUAGGUUGUUUUGUUUCGGAUCUUCCAAAACUUUAUUUUUUCAAUUAAAUUAUUUUUUCAUAUAGUUUCAUACGACACAAACUCAACAAUAGAAUAUACAACUUUAUCUGUUCGCGCAACAGGUAUUCGUAAUCUACUAUAAGCUAUGAUGACACGAGUUUCAAAACUAUAUUUUUAUUUUUAUAAUGUUUGAUUCGCAUACUUAUUUAAUUCAUUAGUUCUUAAAGUUCUAUAUAAAACAACAAACAAAUAUAACAAUAGUCUUUCUUUAUUUUAAAAUUAUUCCUUUUUUUCGGUUACAUUAUUAACCUUUUUACAUUGCUUGGUGUUGUAAACAUUUAUUAUUCGAAUUUCGUUACAAUGUGUUUUGGUCCAAAGUUGGGUAUUCAUUGGCAUGGCCGAGGCUAGUUUAACCAGUCUUGACCCACGCUUGGAUCUCCAAUGAAUAGCCAAGACUAGGUUAGCCAGUGUUGGCCCAAGGUUGGCUGAUCAUUGGCAUGGCCGAGGCUGGGUUAACCAGUCUUGGCCCACGCUUGGAUCUCCAAUGAAUGGCCAAGGCUGGGUUAGCCAGUCUUGGCCCAAGGAUGGGUGAUCAUUGGCAUGGUCGAGGGUGGGUUAACCAGUCUUGGCCCACGCUUGGAUCUCCAAUGAAUGGCCAAGGCUGGGUAACCCAGUCUUGGGCCAAGGCUGGGUAACCCAGUCUUGGGCCAAGGUUGGGUGAUCAUUGGCAUGGCCGAGGCUGGGUUAACCAGUCUUGGCCCACGCUUGGAUCUCCAAUGAAUGGCCAAGGCUGGGUUAGCCAGUCUUGGCCCAAGGAUGGGUGAUCAUUGGCAUGGCCGAGGGUGGUUUAACCAGUCUUGGCCCACGCUUGGAUCUCCAAUGAAUGGCCAGGGCUGGGUUAGC
This 1129-nucleotide unclassified non-coding RNA is filed under the name Melitaea cinxia (Glanville fritillary). RNAcentral's name for it is "misc RNA ENSMCXG00005003558.1". Lineage: Eukaryota; Metazoa; Arthropoda; Insecta; Lepidoptera; Nymphalidae. The record is from RNAcentral.